UACGUAGGGUGCGAGCGUUGUCCGGAAUUAUUGGGCGUAAAGAGCUUGUAGGCGGCUUGUCGCGUCUGCUGUGAAAGUCGGGGGCUCAACCCUCGAAUGCCGGUGGAUACUGUCGGGCUAGAGUGCGGAAGAGGCGAGUGGAAUUCCUGGUGUAGCGGUGAAAUGCGCAGAUAUCAGGAGGAACACCUAUUGCGAAGGCAGCUCGCUGGGACGUAACUGACGCUGAGACGCGAAAGCGUGGGGAGCAAACAGG
Molecule: ribosomal RNA, 253 nt
Filed under: uncultured bacterium
Lineage: Bacteria
Description: partial 16S ribosomal RNA
Rfam family: Bacterial small subunit ribosomal RNA
Source: RNAcentral